CCUACGGGAGGCAGCAGUAGGGAAUCUUCCACAAUGGGCGAAAGCCUGAUGGAGCAACGCCGCGUGGGUGAAGAAGGUCUUCGGAUCGUAAAACCCUGUUGUUAGAGAAGAAAGUGCGUGAGAGUAACUGUUCACGUUUCGACGGUAUCUAACCAGAAAGCCACGGCUAACUACGUGCCAGCAGCCGCGGUAAUACGUAGGUGGGCAGCGUUAUCCGGAUUUAUUUGGCGUAAAGGGAACGCAGGCGGUCUUUUAAGUAUGAUGUGAAAGCCUUCGGCUUAACCGGAGUAGUGCAUUGGAUACUGGGCGACUUGAGUGCAGAAGAGGAGAGUGGAACUCCAGGUGUAGCGGUGAAAUGCGUAGAUAUAUGGCAGAACACCAGUGGCGAAAGCGGCUCUCUGGUCUGUAACUGACGCUGAGGUUCGAAAGCGUGGGUAGCAAACAGGAUUAGAUACCCCAGUAGUC
This 465-nucleotide ribosomal RNA is filed under the name uncultured bacterium. Its description in RNAcentral is "partial 16S ribosomal RNA". It matches the Rfam family "Bacterial small subunit ribosomal RNA", at positions 338 to 795 of the family's 1533-position model. The record is from RNAcentral.